Molecule: unclassified non-coding RNA, 328 nt
Filed under: soil metagenome
Description: partial contains 5.8S ribosomal RNA, internal transcribed spacer 2, and large subunit ribosomal RNA
Rfam family: 5.8S ribosomal RNA (bases 1-120)
Source: RNAcentral
GAUGAAGAACGUAGCGAAAUGCGAUAAGUAGUGUGAAUUGCAGAAUUCAGUGAAUCAUCGAAUCUUUGAACGCACAUUGCGCCCCUCGGUAUUCCGUGGGGCAUGCCUGUUCGAGCGUCAUUUAACCCCUCAAGCUCAGCUUGGUGUUGGGGCCUGCUGCACUGGCAGCCCUUAAAAUCAGUGGCGGCGCCAUCUGGCUCUAAGCGUAGUAAUUCUUCUCGCUAUGGAGUCCUGGUGGAUGCUUGCCAUCAACCCCCAAUUUUUCUAUGGUUGACCUCGGAUCAGGUAGGGAUACCCGCUGAACUUAAGCAUAUCAAUAAGCGGAGGA